Molecule: ribosomal RNA, 481 nt
Filed under: uncultured bacterium
Lineage: Bacteria
Description: partial 16S ribosomal RNA
Rfam family: Bacterial small subunit ribosomal RNA
Source: RNAcentral
GACGAACGCUGGCGGCGUGCUUAACACAUGCAAGUCGAGCGGUAAGGCUCCUUCGGGAGUACACGAGCGGCGAACGGGUGAGUAACACGUGAGCAAUCUGCCCUUCACACGGGGAUAACCCUCGGAAACGAGAGCUAAUACCCGAUACGACCACUUCAGGCAUCUGAUGGUGGUGGAAAGUUCCGGCGGUGAAGGAUGAGCUCGCGGCCUAUCAGCUUGUUGGUGGGGUAACGGCCCACCAAGGCAACGACGGGUAGCCGGCCUGAGAGGGUGACCGGCCACACUGGGACUGAGACACGGCCCAGACUCCUACGGGAGGCAGCAGUGGGGAAUAUUGGACAAUGGGCGAAAGCCUGAUCCAGCAACGCCGCGUGAGGGAUGACGGCCUUCGGGUUGUAAACCUCUUUCAGCAGGGACGAAGCGCAAGUGACGGUACCUGCAGAAGAAGCACCGGCCAACUACGUGCCAGCAGCCGCCGCGG